GCCCGGGUGGCGGAAUUGGCAGACGCAGCAGACUCAAAAUCUGCCGAUCGCAAGGUCUUGUGGGUUCGAUGCCCACCCCGGGCA
This is a non-coding RNA of Beta vulgaris subsp. vulgaris (sugar beet), 84 nucleotides long. Lineage: Eukaryota; Viridiplantae; Streptophyta; Magnoliopsida; Caryophyllales; Amaranthaceae. The record is from Rfam.